RNAcentral lists this ribosomal RNA (465 nucleotides) under uncultured bacterium. RNAcentral's name for it is "partial 16S ribosomal RNA". It matches the Rfam family "Bacterial small subunit ribosomal RNA", at positions 28 to 507 of the family's 1533-position model. The record is from RNAcentral.
GACGAACGCUGGCGGCGUGCUUAACACAUGCCAGUCGAACGGAAAGGCCCCUUUGGGGGUACUCGAGUGGCGAACGGGUGAGUAACACGUGAGUAACCUGCCCUUGACUUCGGGAUAACUUCAGGAAACUGGGGCUAAUACCGGAUAGGAAUCCUUGCUGCAUGGUGGGGGUUGGAAAGCUUCGGCGGUUUUGGAUGGACUCGCGGCUUAUCAGCUUGUUGGUGGGGUAGUGGCUUACCAAGGCUUUGACGGGUAGCCGGCCUGAGAGGGCGACCGGCCACAUUGGGACCUAGAGACGGCCCAGGCACCGACGGGAGGGAGCAGUGGGGAAUAUUGCCCAAUGGGCGGAAGGCUGGUGCAGCAGCGCCGCGUGCGGGAUGACGGUCUUCGGGUUGUAAAACGCUUUCAGCAGGGGCGAAGCUUGUGGUGACGGUACCUGCAGAAGAAGCACCGGCUAACUACGUG